AGCGAACGCUGGCGGCAUGCCUAACACAUGCAAGUCGCACGGGGGGGCUUCGGCCUCCCAGUGGCGGACGGGUGAGGAACGCGUAGGGACCUGUCGAGGGGUGGGGGAUAACCGCGGGAAACUGCGGCUAAUACCGCAUGACGCCGCUGCGUCACAGCCGGUACCAAAGGCGACAGCCGCCCGCCGAGGGGCCUGCGUCCGAUUGGCUGGUUAGCGGGGUAGCGGCCCACCAAGGCGUCGACCGCUAGCUGGUCUGAGAGGUAGAUCACCCACACCGGGACGGAGCAACGGCCCGGACUCUUACGCGAGGGAGCAGUGGGGAAUAUAGGAAAAUGGGGGCAAGCAUGAUCCAGCAAUGCCGGGUGGGUGAAGAAGGUCGUCGGAUAGUAAAGCCCUUUCAGCGGGGACGAUGGUGACGGUACCCGCAGAAGAAGCCCCGGCUAACUUCGUG
This 451-nucleotide ribosomal RNA is filed under the name uncultured bacterium. RNAcentral describes it as "partial 16S ribosomal RNA". It matches the Rfam family "Bacterial small subunit ribosomal RNA", at positions 30 to 507 of the family's 1533-position model. The record is from RNAcentral.